This 71-nucleotide transfer RNA is filed under the name Camelus bactrianus (Bactrian camel). It matches the Rfam family "tRNA". From Rfam's summary of the family: Transfer RNA (tRNA) molecules are approximately 80 nucleotides in length. Their secondary structure includes four short double-helical elements and three loops (D, anti-codon, and T loops). Further hydrogen bonds mediate the characteristic L-shaped molecular structure. tRNAs have two regions of fundamental functional importance: the anti-codon, which is responsible for specific mRNA codon recognition, and the 3' end, to which the tRNAs corresponding amino acid is attached (by aminoacyl-tRNA synthetases). tRNAs cope with the degeneracy of the genetic code in two manners: having more than one tRNA (with a specific anti-codon) for a particular amino acid; and 'wobble' base-pairing, i.e. permitting non-standard base-pairing at the 3rd anti-codon position. The record is from Rfam by way of RNAcentral. RNAcentral also lists the same sequence under 2 other names. Lineage: Eukaryota; Metazoa; Chordata; Mammalia; Artiodactyla; Camelidae.
AGGUAUAUAGCUCAAGUGGUAGAGCACAUGCUUAGCAUGCAUGAGGCCCUGGGUUCAAUUCCCAAUACCUC